Molecule: ribosomal RNA, 253 nt
Filed under: uncultured bacterium
Lineage: Bacteria
Description: partial 16S ribosomal RNA
Rfam family: Bacterial small subunit ribosomal RNA
Source: RNAcentral
UACGAAGGGGGCUAGCGUUGCUCGGAAUCACUGGGCGUAAAGCGCACGUAGGCGGAUUACUAAGUCGGAGGUGAAAGCCUGGGGCUCAACCCCAGAAUUGCCUUCGAUACUGGUAGUCUCGAGUUUGGAAGAGGUGGGUGGAACUCCGAGUGUAGAGGUGAAAUUCGUAGAUAUUCGGAAGAACACCAGUGGCGAAGGCGGCCAACUGGUCCAAUACUGACGCUGAGGUGCGAAAGCGUGGGGAGCAAACAGG